GAUGAAGAACGUAGCGAAAUGCGAUAAGUAAUGCGAAUUGCAGAAUUCCGUGAAUCAUCGAAUCUUUGAACGCACAUUGCGCCCCCUGGUAUUCCGGGGGGCAUGCCUGUCCGAGCGUCAUUACAACCCUCAAGCUCAGCUUGGUGUUGGGCCCCGCCGCCCCGGCGGGCCCUAAAGUCAGUGGCGGUGCCGUCCGGCUCCGAGCGUAGUAAUUCUUCUCGCUCUGGAGGUCCGGUCGUGUGCUCGCCAGCAACCCCCAAUUUUUUUCAGGUUGACCUCGGAUCAGGUAGGGAUACCCGCUGAACUUAAGCAUAUCAAUAAGCGGAGGA
This 329-nucleotide unclassified non-coding RNA is filed under the name soil metagenome. RNAcentral describes it as "partial contains 5.8S ribosomal RNA, internal transcribed spacer 2, and large subunit ribosomal RNA". The stretch from base 1 to 120 matches the Rfam family "5.8S ribosomal RNA", at positions 35 to 154 of the family's 154-position model. The record is from RNAcentral.